UACGUAGGGUGCGAGCGUUGUCCGGAAUUAUUGGGCGUAAAGAGCUCGUAGGCGGUGUGUCACGUCGGCCGUGAAAACCUGCAGCUUAACUGUGGGCGUGCGGUCGAUACGGGCAUCACUGGAGUUCGGCAGGGGAGACUGGAAUUCCUGGUGUAGCGGUGAAAUGCGCAGAUAUCAGGAGGAACACCGGUGGCGAAGGCGGGUCUCUGGGCCAUAACUGACACUGAGGAGCGAAAGCAUGGGGAGCGAACAGG
This 254-nucleotide ribosomal RNA is filed under the name uncultured bacterium. Its description in RNAcentral is "partial 16S ribosomal RNA". It matches the Rfam family "Bacterial small subunit ribosomal RNA", at positions 524 to 776 of the family's 1533-position model. The record is from RNAcentral.